Molecule: ribosomal RNA, 442 nt
Filed under: uncultured bacterium
Lineage: Bacteria
Description: partial 16S ribosomal RNA
Rfam family: Bacterial small subunit ribosomal RNA
Source: RNAcentral
CCUACGGGGUGCAGCAGUGGGGAAUAUUGGGCAAUGGGCGCAAGCCUGACCCAGCAAUGCCGCGUGAAGGAAGAAGGCUUUCGGGUUGUAAACUUCUUUGACAGGGGAAGAGCAGAAGACGGUACCUGACGAAUAAGCCACGGCUAACUACGUGCCAGCAGCCGCGGUAAUACGUAGGUGGCAAGCGUUGUCCGGAUUUACUGGGUGUAAAGGGCGUGUAGCCGGGUUGACAAGUCAGAUGUGAAAUCCUGCGGCUUAACCGCAGAACUGCAUUUGAAACUGUUGAUCUUGAGUACUGGAGAGGCAGAUGGAAUUCCUAGUGUAGCGGUGAAAUGCGUAGAUAUUAGGAGGAACACCAGUGGCGAAGGCGGUCUGCUGGACAGCAACUGACGGUGAGGCGCGAAAGCGUGGGGAGCAAACAGGAUUAGAUACCCGAGUAGUC